RNAcentral lists this ribosomal RNA (497 nucleotides) under uncultured bacterium. RNAcentral's name for it is "partial 16S ribosomal RNA". It matches the Rfam family "Bacterial small subunit ribosomal RNA", at positions 28 to 507 of the family's 1533-position model. The record is from RNAcentral.
GACGAACGCUGGCGGCGUGCCUAAUACAUGCAAGUUGAGCGCUGAAGGUUGGUACUUGUACCAACUGGAUGAGCAGCGAACGGGUGAGUAACGCGUGGGGAAUCUGCCUUUGAGCGGGGGACAACAUUUGGAAACGAAUGCUAAUACCGCAUAAAAACUUUAAACACAAGUUUUAAGUUUGAAAGAUGCAAUUGCAUCACUCAAAGAUGAUCCCGCGUUGUAUUAGCUAGUUGGUGAGGUAAAGGCUCACCAAGGCGAUGAUACAUAGCCAACCUGAGAGGGUGAUCGGCCACAUUGGGACUGAGACACGGCCCAAACUCCUACGGGAGGCAGCAGUAGGGAAUCUUCGGCAAUGGACGAAAGUCUGACCGAGCAACGCCGCGUGAGUGAAGAAGGUUUUCGGAUCGUAAAACCCUGUUGGUAGAGAAGAACGUUGGUGAGAGUGGAAAGCUCAUCAAGUGACGGUAACUACCCAGAAAGGGACGGCUAACUACGUG